Molecule: ribosomal RNA, 254 nt
Filed under: uncultured bacterium
Lineage: Bacteria
Description: partial small subunit ribosomal RNA
Rfam family: Bacterial small subunit ribosomal RNA
Source: RNAcentral
AGGAUAAACGCUGGCGGCGUGCUUAACACAUGCAAGUCGAGCGGAAAGGCCCUUCGGGGUACUCGAGCGGCGAACGGGUGAGUAACACGUGAGUAAUCUGCCCCUAGCUCUGGGAUAGCUCCGGGAAAACCGGGAUUAAUACCAGAUAUUACCACUUUAGACAUCUCUUGUGGUGGAAAGAAUUUCGGCUAGGGAUGAACUCGCGGCCUAUCAGCUUGUGGUGAGGUAACGGCUCACCAAGGCGACGACGGGUA